GUCGGCGUAGCGUUUGGACCACGCCUGGGCCUCGGCGCGCGCUGCGGCCCACGGGUCCAGGCGCUCGCGCUCCCAAUACUCGACGUCGUCAUAGGAGGGUCGUGUCGGUUCCUGGUAGGUGCCGGGCGCGGCCACCGCGGGCGCAGCGCCGGCGGCCUUGGACGUCUUGGCGCGCGCGCGUCUCCAAAACAUGGCGUCUGCCGGCCAAGGGCACACCAAAUGGAAAAAAAAGAAGAGUCUGAAAACAAAGAGAGAACAAAAAGCGCUGAAAAGAGAACGACCAACAGCGCACGGGCAAAGGUGCACGAAAAAAAAGGUGCACACGCACGUACCUGAAAAACAGGCAACAAUAGACAGAGAAAUGAGCCGCCGGGGGAUCAAAAAGAGGGAGGAGGACGGGCGAGGGCGCGUCCUUGCGGGGUUUCCCUUUGUGUGUCGCUCGACGGCGCCGGGCAUCGAGCGUCGACGUCGACAGCACGACCAAAAACGCAAACAGGCAGGAAAAACAAAAAGGAAAAAAGGAAAAACAAUGGGCCAACGGCGACGACAGAGGAGGUUUUUUCGCAUUUUUUCCUCGGUGUCGAAAAGAAAUCUUCUCGGGAUGGGG
RNAcentral lists this long non-coding RNA (607 nucleotides) under Pandoravirus dulcis. RNAcentral describes it as "putative ncRNA". The record is from RNAcentral.